This 74-nucleotide transfer RNA is filed under the name Candidatus Palauibacterales bacterium. RNAcentral's name for it is "tRNA-Pro". It matches the Rfam family "tRNA". Rfam says of the family: Transfer RNA (tRNA) molecules are approximately 80 nucleotides in length. The record is from RNAcentral. Lineage: Bacteria; Pseudomonadati; Gemmatimonadota; Gemmatimonadia; Candidatus Palauibacterales. RNAcentral also lists the same sequence under 1 other name.
CGGGGAGUGGCGCAGCUAGGUAGCGCGCUGCAAUGGGGUUGCAGAGGUCCCGGGUUCAAAUCCCGGCUCCCCGA